This 440-nucleotide ribosomal RNA is filed under the name uncultured bacterium. RNAcentral describes it as "partial 16S ribosomal RNA". It matches the Rfam family "Bacterial small subunit ribosomal RNA", at positions 338 to 795 of the family's 1533-position model. The record is from RNAcentral.
CCUACGGGAGACAGCAGUGGGGAAUAUUGCACAAUGGGGGAAACCCUGAUGCAGCGACGCCGCGUGAGUGAAGAAGUCUUUCGGUAAGUAAAGCUCUAUCAGCAGGGGAGAAAAUGACGGUACCUGACUAAGAAGCCCAGGCUAACUACGUGCCAGCAGCCGCGGUAAUACGUAGGGGGCAAGCGUUAUCCGGAUUUACGGGGGUGAAUGGGAGCGUAGACGGCAGCGCAAGUCUGAAGUGAAAUCCCAUGGCUUAACCAUGGAACUGCUUUUGAAAAUGUGCAGCUGGAGUGCAGGAGAGGUACGCGGAAUUCCUGGUGUAGCGGUGAAAUGCGUAGAUAUUAGGAGGAACACCAGUGGCGAAGGCGGCUUACUGGACUGUAACUGACGUUGAGGCUCGAAAGCGUGGGGAGCAAACAGGAUUAGAUACCCGGGUAGUC